CCUACGGGAGGCUGCAGUCGAGAAUUAUUCACAAUGGUGGAAACCCUGAUGGUGCGACGCCGCGUGGGGGAGUGAAGGACAUAGUAUUGUAAACCCCUGUCAUCUGGGAGCAAAUACAAAAGAUCGUACCACAAGAGGAAGAGACGGCUAACUCUGUGCGAGCAGCCGCGGUAAUACAGCGGUCUCAAGCGUUGUUCGGAAUCACUGGGCGUAAAGCGUGCGUUGGCUGGUUCGUAAGUCGGGUGUGAAAGGCGCGGGCUCAACCCGCGGACGGCACAUGAUACUGCGAGACUAGAGUGAUGGAGGGGGAACCGGAAUUCGCGGUGUAGCAGUGAAAUGCGUAGAUAUCGAGAGGAACACUCGUGGCGAAGGCGGGUUCCUGGACAUUAACUGACGCUGAGGCACGAAGGCCAGGGGAGCGAAAGGGAUUAGAUACCCCUGUAGUC
Molecule: ribosomal RNA, 446 nt
Filed under: uncultured bacterium
Lineage: Bacteria
Description: partial 16S ribosomal RNA
Rfam family: Bacterial small subunit ribosomal RNA
Source: RNAcentral